UACGUAGGGUGCGAGCGUUGCCCGGAUUUAUUGGGCGUAAAGGGCGCGCAGGCGGUACGGCACGUCCGUUGUGAAAUCGCUCGGCUCAACUGGGCGGGGUCAGCGGAUACGGCCGCACUUGAGCAAGCUAGGGGGCAAUGGAAUUCCCGGUGUAGUGGUGGAAUGCGUAGAUAUCGGGAGGAACACCUGUGGCGAAGGCGGCCAUCUGGACAACUACUGACACUGAGACGCGAAAGCGUGGGUAGCAAACAGG
This 253-nucleotide ribosomal RNA is filed under the name uncultured bacterium. RNAcentral describes it as "partial 16S ribosomal RNA". It matches the Rfam family "Bacterial small subunit ribosomal RNA", at positions 524 to 776 of the family's 1533-position model. The record is from RNAcentral.